GUCCCGGUUUAAGCGUGUAGGUGUGUGUUCCAGGUAAAUCCGGUUCACUUUAACACUGAGGCGUGACGACGAGGCACUACGGUGCUGAAGCAACAAAUGCCCUGCUUCCAGGAAAAGCCUCUAAGCAUCAGGUAACAUCAAAUCGUACCCCAAACCGACACAGGUGGUCAGGUAGAGAAUACCAAGGCGCUUGAGAGAACUCGGGUGAAGGAACUAGGCAAAAUGGUGCCGUAACUUCGGGAGAAGGCACGCUGACACGUAGGUGAAGUGAUUUACUCAUGGAGCUGAAGUCAGUCGAAGAUACCAGCUGGCUGCAACUGUUUAUUAAAAACACAGCACUGUGCAAACACGAAAGUGGACGUAUACGGUGUGACGCCUGCCCGGUGCCGGAAGGUUAAUUGAUGGGGUCAGCGCAAGCGAAGCUCCUGAUCGAAGCCCCGGUAAACGGCGGCCGUAACUAUAACGGUCCUAAGGUAGCGAAAUUCCUUGUCGGGUAAGUUCCGACCUGCACGAAUGGCGUAAUGAUGGCCAGGCUGUCUCCACCCGAGACUCAGUGAAAUUGAACUCGCUGUGAAGAUGCAGUGUACCCGCGGCAAGACGGAAAGACCCCGUGAACCUUUACUAUAGCUUGACACUGAACAUUGAGCCUUGAUGUGUAGGAUAGGUGGGAGGCUUUGAAGUGUGGACGCCAGUCUGCAUGGAGCCGACCUUGAAAUACCACCCUUUAAUGUUUGAUGUUCUAACGUGGACCCGUGAUCCGGGUUGCGGACAGUGUCUGGUGGGUAGUUUGACUGGGGCGGUCUCCUCCUAAAGAGUAACGGAGGAGCACGAAGGUUGGCUAAUCCUGGUCGGACAUCAGGAGGUUAGUGCAAUGGCAUAAGCCAGCUUGACUGCGAGCGUGACGGCGCGAGCAGGUGCGAAAGCAGGUCAUAGUGAUCCGGUGGUUCUGAAUGGAAGGGCCAUCGCUCAACGGAUAAAAGGUACUCCGGGGAUAACAGGCUGAUACCGCCCAAGAGUUCAUAUCGACGGCGGUGUUUGGCACCUCGAUGUCGGCUCAUCACAUCCUGGGGCUGAAGUAGGUCCCAAGGGUAUGGCUGUUCGCCAUUUAAAGUGGUACGCGAGCUGGGUUUAGAACGUCGUGAGACAGUUCGGUCCCUAUCUGCCGUGGGCGCUGGAGAACUGAGGGGGGCUGCUCCUAGUACGAGAGGACCGGAGUGGACGCAUCACUGGUGUUCGGGUUGUCAUGCCAAUGGCACUGCCCGGUAGCUAAAUGCGGAAGAGAUAAGUGCUGAAAGCAUCUAAGCACGAAACUUGCCCCGAG
Molecule: ribosomal RNA, 1321 nt
Filed under: Salmonella enterica
Lineage: Bacteria; Pseudomonadati; Pseudomonadota; Gammaproteobacteria; Enterobacterales; Enterobacteriaceae
Description: partial 23S ribosomal RNA
Rfam family: Bacterial large subunit ribosomal RNA
Source: RNAcentral